RNAcentral lists this ribosomal RNA (467 nucleotides) under uncultured Acinetobacter sp. Its description in RNAcentral is "bacterial SSU rRNA". It matches the Rfam family "Bacterial small subunit ribosomal RNA", at positions 335 to 793 of the family's 1533-position model. The record is from RNAcentral. Lineage: Bacteria; Pseudomonadati; Pseudomonadota; Gammaproteobacteria; Moraxellales; Moraxellaceae.
ACUCCUACGGGAGGCAGCAGUGGGGAAUAUUGGACAAUGGGCGGAAGCCUGAUCCAGCCAUGCCGCGUGUGUGAAGAAGGCCUUAUGGUUGUAAAGCACUUUAAGCGAGGAGGAGGCUACUUUAGUUAAUACCUAGAGAUAGUGGACGUUACUCGCAGAAUAAGCACCGGCUAACUCUGUGCCAGCAGCCGCGGUAAUACAGAGGGUGCAAGCGUUAAUCGGAUUUACUGGGCGUAAAGCGCGCGUAGGCGGCUAAUUAAGUCAAAUGUGAAAUCCCCGAGCUUAACUUGGGAAUUGCAUUCGAUACUGGUUAGCUAGAGUGUGGGAGAGGAUGGUAGAAUUCCAGGUGUAGCGGUGAAAUGCGUAGAGAUCUGGAGGAAUACCGAUGGCGAAGGCAGCCAUCUGGCCUAACACUGACGCUGAGGUGCGAAAGCAUGGGGAGCAAACAGGAUUAGAUACCCUGGUAG